CAAGUCGAACGGCAGCACGGGUGCUUGCACCUGGUGGCGAGUGGCGAACGGGUGAGUAAUGUAUCGGAACGUAUCCAAUAAUGGGGGAUAACUAAUCGAAAGGUUGGCUAAUACCGCAUACGCCCUACGGGGGAAAGCAGGGGAUCUUCGGACCUUGCGUUGAUGGAGCGGCCGAUAUCUGAUUAGCUAGUAGGUGAGGUAAAGGCUCACCUAGGCGACGAUCAGUAGCUGGUCUGAGAGGACGACCAGCCACACUGGAACUGAGACACGGUCCAGACUCCUACGGGAGGCAGCAGUGGGGAAUUUUGGACAAUGGGGGCAACCCUGAUCCAGCCAUUCCGCGUGAGUGAAGAAGGCCUUCGGGUUGUAAAGCUCUUUCGCAAGGGAAGAAACGAUACUGACGAAUAAUCAGUGUUAAUGACGGUACCUUGAUAAGAAGCACCGGCUAGCUACGUGCCAGCAGCCGCGGUAAUACGUAGGGUGCGAGCGUUAAUCGGAAUUACUGGGCGUAAAGCGUGCGCAGGCGGUUUUGAAAGUCAGAUGUGAAAUCCCCGGGCUCAACCUGGGAACUGCGUUUGAAACUCCAAAGCUAGAGUAUGGGAGAGGGGGGUAGAAUUCCACGUGUAGCAGUGAAAUGCGUAGAGAUGUGGAGGAAUACCAAUGGCGAAGGCAGCCCCCUGGCUUAAUACUGACGCUCAUGCACGAAAGCGUGGGGAGCAAACAGGAUUAGAUACCCUGGUAGUCCACGCCCUAAACGAUGUCUACUAGUUGUUGGGAGAGUAAAAUCUCUUAGUAACGCAGCUAACGCGUGAAGUAGACCGCCUGGGGAGUACGGUCGCAAGAUUAAAACUCAAAGGAAUUGACGG
This 866-nucleotide ribosomal RNA is filed under the name uncultured bacterium. RNAcentral describes it as "bacterial SSU rRNA". It matches the Rfam family "Bacterial small subunit ribosomal RNA", at positions 58 to 916 of the family's 1533-position model. The record is from RNAcentral.